UUAAAUCAGUUUAUGAAAAUUUUAACAUUUUUUUAAAAUUUUUAUGGAUUUUUAAUUAUUCAUUUAACUAUUAUUGAACUGGUGGUCGAACUUGUUGAACUGAGAAUCAGUAGUCUGGCCGGUUCGACCACCUAUUCAUUUUUUAAAACAGUAUUGCCAAAACCCUCUAUUAGUCUUGAUUAAUUCUUGAAAACAAACGUUAAUCCGUGUAUAAAUGUCAUUUGAAGGACCUGUUUUAGGUAUGCCAAAUCAGAUUUGAACGAGAAGGACGUCGCUC
RNAcentral lists this long non-coding RNA (277 nucleotides) under Gossypium barbadense (sea-island cotton). Its description in RNAcentral is "long non-coding RNA (GBAR_LNC021198)". Lineage: Eukaryota; Viridiplantae; Streptophyta; Magnoliopsida; Malvales; Malvaceae. The record is from RNAcentral.